This 188-nucleotide microRNA precursor is filed under the name Paramuricea clavata. The record is from RNAcentral. Lineage: Eukaryota; Metazoa; Cnidaria; Anthozoa; Malacalcyonacea; Plexauridae.
UGCGAGUUAAUGAGUGUCUGAAAUUCAGACACACUUAUAUUCUAUUGCGAGCUAUACGGGUGUCCGAAUUUCGGACACUCCUAUAUUAUAUUGCGCGCGAGUUAUAUGGGUGUCUGAAUUUCAGACAGCCAUAUAACUCGCAAUAGAAGAUAAGAGUGUCUGAAAUUCAGACACCCAUAUAACUCGCA